This is a non-coding RNA of Cinara cedri, 374 nucleotides long. The record is from the annotation of a GenBank genome assembly. NCBI's taxonomy places the organism in Eukaryota, Metazoa, Arthropoda, Insecta, Hemiptera, Aphididae.
AUAUCGACAAUAUUCGACGAAACAAAAUUCGCGUAUAGGUUCGUUUUGACAUUCGGAUAGGUACCUAUGCAUUUUAUUAUCUACUAAUCUACUAUUCGGCUGUUAGGCGGGUACAAAACGAUAGUAAUUUUGGCGCGUGAUUGACGGGCAAACGAAAUUGGGUUACAGGAUUUGUUAUAAAUAAUAGGAAAAUGUAUAACAGCACAGCGCUGUACAGGUAUUGAUAUUAUUGAUAAUAUUAAUCCGGGAGGUUUCAAAAUUCGGAUAGUGGUUUUAAAACGCGCGGCUGACCCAUACGUAACAAUAUUGUAUUAUCGUCGUAAUGCUCAACGCUACAUAAUAACUGGUAUGUAGUACCCGUAAUAUUAUUCCGG